GAAAAAUUAGCGGAUGACUUGUGGCUAGGGGUGAAAGGCCAAUCAAACCUGGAGAUAGCUGGUUCUCCCCGAAAGCUAUUUAGGUAGCGCCUCGGACGAAUACUACUGGGGGUAGAGCACUGUUAAGGCUAGGGGGUCAUCCCGACUUACCAACCCUUUGCAAACUCCGAAUACCAGUAAGUACUAUCCGGGAGACACACGGCGGGUGCUAACGUCCGUCGUGGAGAGGGAAACAACCCAGACCGCCAGCUAAGGUCCCAAAUUACUACUAAGUGGGAAACGAUGUGGGAAGGCUCAGACAGCCAGGAUGUUGGCUUAGAAGCAGCCAUCAUUAAAGAAAGCGUAAUAGCUCACUGGUCGAGUCGGCCUGCGCGGAAGAUGUAACGGGGCUAAGUAGUAAACCGAAGCUGCGGCAAUGUGCUUUUGCACAUUGGGUAGGGGAGCGUUCUGUAAGCGGU
RNAcentral lists this ribosomal RNA (458 nucleotides) under Vibrio parahaemolyticus. RNAcentral's name for it is "partial 23S ribosomal RNA". It matches the Rfam family "Bacterial large subunit ribosomal RNA", at positions 791 to 1251 of the family's 2925-position model. Lineage: Bacteria; Pseudomonadati; Pseudomonadota; Gammaproteobacteria; Vibrionales; Vibrionaceae. The record is from RNAcentral.